GACGUAGGGCGCGAGCGUUGUCCGGAUUUAUUGGGCGUAAAGAGCUCGUAGGCGGCUUGUCGCGUCGUCCGUGAAAACCUGCAGCUCAACUGCGGGCUUGCGGUCGAUACGGGCAGGCUAGAGUUCGGUAGGGGGAGACUGGAAUUCCUGGUGUAGCGGUGAAAUGCGCAGAUAUCAGGAGGAACACCGGUGGCGAAGGCGGGUCUCUGGGCCGAUACUGACGCUGAGGAGCGAAAGCGUGGGGAGCGAACAGG
Molecule: ribosomal RNA, 254 nt
Filed under: uncultured bacterium
Lineage: Bacteria
Description: partial 16S ribosomal RNA
Rfam family: Bacterial small subunit ribosomal RNA
Source: RNAcentral